GGGGCAUAGAGCCGGGCCCUGGCGCUAUUUACCCCUCUCGGCUCCAAUUCCCCUCUCCUGUUCCUGUCUUUUGCACUGGCUGGCAGAGCAAGAGGACGACGGCCGGGGAGCGCGCGCGAGGGACCCGGAAUGGGUCCUCGGUAGUCUUAGUUCCGCUCAAUGCUCAGGCCCUCGCCCCGACAAUGACAGCGCCCGGGCUCAAGUGCGGCGCGCCCGGAGGUCAUAGUGAAGCCGCGCCUGGCUCCAGGAUCGAAGGGAGCGCGAGACAUCAAUGGACAUCACUCCAGAUCCUUCUUCAUCUGGCUGCAGCUGGAGCUCUGCACCAAGGCUGUGCUGCUCACCACAGGAGAGAUCAGAUGCUACUAUGAUGAUGCUCGCUGUGUGGCAACAGGUUAUAUGUGUAAGUCUGAGCUUAGUGCUUGCUUCUCCAGACAUCUCGAUCCUCAGGACACCAAUUCCCCACUCAUCCACAGCUGUCUGGACUUACAUGCAAGCACAGCACAGACAUCUGCGAAGACAAGCAGGCCCUAAACCACUCUGGCCCUGCCAUGCCCACUUUGGAAUGCUGUCACGAAAACAUGUGCAAUUCCCGAGGACUGCAUGAAGUCCUCUCUCCUCCCAAGAGCGAAGCCUCAGGACAAGGAAACCAGUAUCAGCAUGACAGCAGCAGAAAACUCAUCACUAGGAUGCAGGAGCUGACUUCCUUCAAAGAACUGUGGUUUGGCGCAGCUGUGAUCGCUGGCGGACUGAUCUUGUGCUGCUGCCUUACUGUUUUGUUGGCCUUGCGAGUGCUUCAAAGUAAGAACAAGAGACUGCAGGAUCGGUGGCAGCAGAUGCUGUCCUGUUUGCACUACAGCUUUCACCGCGGUGGCUUUCCUAGAUCUGAGAUACAAAGCUUAAAUUUGAAGAGAUCACCAGUGUAAUCAACUAGAGAAAGUACCCAAGGAGGAACAACAAUAUGAAAUAACCAGUACCCCCCAGAACUGUGUCUCUAGUUGCAUAUGUAGCAGAGGAUGGCCUAGUUGGCUAUCAAUGAGAGGAGAGGCCCUUGGUCCUGCGAAGAUCAUAUGCCCCAGUACAGGGGAAUGCCAGGGCCAAGAAGCAUUAGUGGAUGGGUUGGGGAGCAGGAGGGGGGGAUGGUAGAGGGGACUUUCGGGAUAGCAUUUGAAAUGUAAAUGAAGAAAAUAUCUAAUAAAAAAAGAAAUGAAAAUUGGC
Molecule: RNA transcript, 1215 nt
Organism: Mus musculus (house mouse)
Lineage: Eukaryota; Metazoa; Chordata; Mammalia; Rodentia; Muridae
Gene: Bambi-ps1
Gene name: BMP and activin membrane-bound inhibitor, pseudogene (Xenopus laevis)
Exons: 1
Source: RefSeq, marked validated